This 235-nucleotide unclassified non-coding RNA is filed under the name Micarea subnigrata. RNAcentral's name for it is "partial contains 5.8S ribosomal RNA, internal transcribed spacer 2, and large subunit ribosomal RNA". Lineage: Eukaryota; Fungi; Ascomycota; Lecanoromycetes; Lecanorales; Micareaceae. The record is from RNAcentral.
CGCACAUUGCGCUCUUCGGCAUUCCGGGGAGCAUGCCUGUUCGAGCGUCAUUGCACCUCUCAAGCGUAGCUUGGUAUUGGAUCUUGUCCGAGCAGACAUGUCCGAAAAUGAGUGGCGGUCCCGUACGACUUCAAGCGCAGUAAAUAAUUCGCUUUGGAAGUUUCGUAUUGUGCCUGCCAGAAUAUUCUCUUCAAUGAUUGACCUCGGAUCAGGUAGGGAUACCCGCUGAACUUAA